UACGUAGGGUGCAAGCGUUAUCCGGAAUUAUUGGGCGUAAAGAGCUCGUAGGCGGUUUGUCGCGUCUGCUGUGAAAACUGGAGGCUCAACCUCCAGCCUGCAGUGGGUACGGGCAAGCUAGAGUGCGGUAGGGGAGAUUGGAAUUCCUGGUGUAGCGGUGGAAUGCGCAGAUAUCAGGAGGAACACCGGUGGCGAAGGCGGGUCUCUGGGCCGUAACUGACGCUGAGGAGCGAAAGCGUGGGGAGCGAACAGG
RNAcentral lists this ribosomal RNA (253 nucleotides) under uncultured bacterium. RNAcentral describes it as "partial 16S ribosomal RNA". It matches the Rfam family "Bacterial small subunit ribosomal RNA", at positions 524 to 776 of the family's 1533-position model. The record is from RNAcentral.